RNAcentral lists this ribosomal RNA (253 nucleotides) under uncultured bacterium. RNAcentral describes it as "partial 16S ribosomal RNA". It matches the Rfam family "Bacterial small subunit ribosomal RNA", at positions 524 to 776 of the family's 1533-position model. The record is from RNAcentral.
UACGUAGGGUGCAAGCGUUAAUCGGAAUUACUGGGCGUAAAGCGUGCGCAGGCGGUUUUGUAAGACAGGCGUGAAAUCCCCGGGCUCAACCUGGGAAUUGCAUUUGUGACUGCAAGGCUAGAGUACGGCAGAGGGGGAUGGAAUUCCGCGUGUAGCAGUGAAAUGCGUAGAUAUGCGGAGGAACACCAAUGGCGAAGGCAAUCCCCUGGGCCUGUACUGACGCUCAUGCACGAAAGCGUGGGGAGCAAACAGG